GACCCCUUUGCCCCCCAGCUGCCUCUCUCCCUCCCAGAGGCUUCCCUGGAUGAGAGAGAAGGAGCUGUGGGGCAGAGUGGGG
Molecule: non-coding RNA, 82 nt
Organism: Podarcis lilfordi (Lilford's wall lizard)
Lineage: Eukaryota; Metazoa; Chordata; Lepidosauria; Squamata; Lacertidae
Source: the annotation of a GenBank genome assembly